Molecule: ribosomal RNA, 465 nt
Filed under: uncultured bacterium
Lineage: Bacteria
Description: partial 16S ribosomal RNA
Rfam family: Bacterial small subunit ribosomal RNA
Source: RNAcentral
GACGAACGCUGGCGGCGUGCUUAACACAUGCAAGUCGAACGGAAAGGCCCCUUCGGGGGUACUCGAGUGGCGAACGGGUGAGUAACACGUGAGUAACCUGCCCUUGACUUCGGGAUAACUUCAGGAAACUGGGGCUAAUACCGGAUAGGAAUCCUUGCUGCAUGGUGGGGGUUGGAAAGCUUCGGCGGUUUUGGAUGGACUCGCGGCUUAUCAGCUUGUUGGUGGGGUAGUGGCUUACCAAGGCUUUGACGGGUAGCCGGCCUGAGAGGGCGACCGGCCACAUUGGGACUGAGAUACGGCCCAGACUCCUACGGGAGGCAGCAGUGGGGAAUAUUGCACAAUGGGCAGAAGCCUGAUGCAGCAACGCCGCGUGCGGGAUGACGGCCUUCGGGUUGGAAACCGCUUUCAGCAGGGGCGAAGCUUGUGGUGACGGUACCUGCAGAAGAAGCACCGGCUAACUACGUG